CCCUUAGAUGUCCGGGGCUGCACGCGCGCUACACUGAGCCCUUCAGCGAGUUUGAUUAUCCUGGCACGAAAGUGCUGGGCAAUCUGGUGAAACGCGUUCGUGAUUGGGAUCGGGACUUGCAAUUAUUUCCCUUGAACGAGGAAUCCCUAGUAAGUGCAGGUCAUCAGCUUGCGUUGAUUACGUCCCUGCCCUUUGUACACACCGCCCGUCGCUGCCCGGAACUGAGCCGUUUCGAGAAAUGCGAGGACUGCCGGCUAGCUGAUUUCACGAUUGGUUAGCUGGCGGAAAUCGCCUUAAUCGCAGCGGCUUGAACCGGGCAAAAGUCGUAACA
Molecule: ribosomal RNA, 331 nt
Filed under: uncultured eukaryote
Lineage: Eukaryota
Description: partial 18S ribosomal RNA
Rfam family: Eukaryotic small subunit ribosomal RNA
Source: RNAcentral